Molecule: ribosomal RNA, 1446 nt
Filed under: Limosilactobacillus reuteri
Lineage: Bacteria; Bacillati; Bacillota; Bacilli; Lactobacillales; Lactobacillaceae
Description: bacterial SSU rRNA
Rfam family: Bacterial small subunit ribosomal RNA
Source: RNAcentral
UGCAAGUCGUACGCACUGGCCCAACUGAUUGAUGGUGCUUGCACCUGAUUGACGAUGGAUCACCAGUGAGUGGCGGACGGGUGAGUAACACGUAGGUAACCUGCCCCGGAGCGGGGGAUAACAUUUGGAAACAGAUGCUAAUACCGCAUAACAACAAAAGCCACAUGGCUUUUGUUUGAAAGAUGGCUUUGGCUAUCACUCUGGGAUGGACCUGCGGUGCAUUAGCUAGUUGGUAAGGUAACGGCUUACCAAGGCGAUGAUGCAUAGCCGAGUUGAGAGACUGAUCGGCCACAAUGGAACUGAGACACGGUCCAUACUCCUACGGGAGGCAGCAGUAGGGAAUCUUCCACAAUGGGCGCAAGCCUGAUGGAGCAACACCGCGUGAGUGAAGAAGGGUUUCGGCUCGUAAAGCUCUGUUGUUGGAGAAGAACGUGCGUGAGAGUAACUGUUCACGCAGUGACGGUAUCCAACCAGAAAGUCACGGCUAACUACGUGCCAGCAGCCGCGGUAAUACGUAGGUGGCAAGCGUUAUCCGGAUUUAUUGGGCGUAAAGCGAGCGCAGGCGGUUGCUUAGGUCUGAUGUGAAAGCCUUCGGCUUAACCGAAGAAGUGCAUCGGAAACCGGGCGACUUGAGUGCAGAAGAGGACAGUGGAACUCCAUGUGUAGCGGUGGAAUGCGUAGAUAUAUGGAAGAACACCAGUGGCGAAGGCGGCUGUCUGGUCUGCAACUGACGCUGAGGCUCGAAAGCAUGGGUAGCGAACAGGAUUAGAUACCCUGGUAGUCCAUGCCGUAAACGAUGAGUGCUAGGUGUUGGAGGGUUUCCGCCCUUCAGUGCCGGAGCUAACGCAUUAAGCACUCCGCCUGGGGAGUACGACCGCAAGGUUGAAACUCAAAGGAAUUGACGGGGGCCCGCACAAGCGGUGGAGCAUGUGGUUUAAUUCGAAGCUACGCGAAGAACCUUACCAGGUCUUGACAUCUUGCGCUAACCUUAGAGAUAAGGCGUUCCCUUCGGGGACGCAAUGACAGGUGGUGCAUGGUCGUCGUCAGCUCGUGUCGUGAGAUGUUGGGUUAAGUCCCGCAACGAGCGCAACCCUUGUUACUAGUUGCCAGCAUUAAGUUGGGCACUCUAGUGAGACUGCCGGUGACAAACCGGAGGAAGGUGGGGACGACGUCAGAUCAUCAUGCCCCUUAUGACCUGGGCUACACACGUGCUACAAUGGACGGUACAACGAGUCGCAAACUCGCGAGAGUAAGCUAAUCUCUUAAAGCCGUUCUCAGUUCGGACUGUAGGCUGCAACUCGCCUACACGAAGUCGGAAUCGCUAGUAAUCGCGGAUCAGCAUGCCGCGGUGAAUACGUUCCCGGGCCUUGUACACACCGCCCGUCACACCAUGGGAGUUUGUAACGCCCAAAGUCGGUGGCCUAACCUUUAUGGAGGGAGCCGCCU